RNAcentral lists this ribosomal RNA (464 nucleotides) under uncultured bacterium. RNAcentral's name for it is "partial 16S ribosomal RNA". It matches the Rfam family "Bacterial small subunit ribosomal RNA", at positions 338 to 795 of the family's 1533-position model. The record is from RNAcentral.
CCUACGGGUGGCAGCAGUGGGGAAUCUUCCGCAAUGGGCGAAAGCCUGACGGAGCAACGCCGCGUGAGAGAAUGAAGGCCUUCGGGUUGUAAAGAUCUGUUGACAGGGACGAAUAAGCAAUGCGAAUAGUUUUGUGUAUGACGGUACCUGUUUAGAAAGCUACGGCUAACUACGUGCCAGCAGCCGCGGUAAUACGUAGGGAGCAAGCGUUGUCCGGAAUUAAUGGGCGUAAAGGGAGUGUAGGUGGGCGCUUAAGUCAGGUGUGAAAACUCCGGGCUCAACCUGGAGACUGCCCUUGAAACUGGGUGUCUUGAGGGCAGGAGAGGAAAGUGGAAUUCCUGGUGUAGCGGUGAAAUGCGUAGAUAUUUGGAGGAACACCAGUGGCGAAGGCGACUUUCUGGCCUGUACCUGACGCCGAGGCGCGAAAGCGUGGGUAGCGAACGGGAUUAGAUACCCGUGUAGUC